RNAcentral lists this long non-coding RNA (1113 nucleotides) under Astyanax mexicanus (Mexican tetra). RNAcentral's name for it is "lncRNA (ENSAMXG00005005642.1)". The record is from RNAcentral. Lineage: Eukaryota; Metazoa; Chordata; Actinopteri; Characiformes; Acestrorhamphidae.
CGUUUAUCUGGUGUUGAGCGGCGGUGUGUCCCUCCCGGCCCCCCGUACUCUGUGUAAACAGUAGCGCAGCUGGGAUGUUAUAUAGUUCAGGUAAAUUACCUGCGUUUUACCGGAUUAAUGGCCUCUUUAAAAAGAGCUAAAACCUGGGAACUCUCAGACUCAGAGCCGGAGGAACAAACCCCGCCUGAUUCAAUCCCGCAGAGUUCUGCAAAAGACAAUAAUGACGAUGAUGAUAAAGGUGAUGUUGAUAAUGAAGAUGACGAUGGCGCGGUGACCCAGAGUUCAAACAGUAAAUCUGAAGGCGCGAGUUCGGUCUGUCUGGUUCCUCCGUCGGGCCGAGGCUCUCGCGCCUCGUCCGUCAGCCCCAGCCGCAGGAGGAGAACCCCGGAGGAGAGAGAGGAGGAGCGAGCGAGAGCGGAGGAGAGGAGGGCGGAGAGAGAGAGAGCGAGGGAGGAGAGAGAGAGGGUGAAGGAGGAGAAAAAGAGGGAGCAGAGAUGGAGGAGGGAGGAGGCGGAGCGACUGAAGAGUCUGAAGCCAGAGAACUGCCUGAAGAACCUGACCGUCCACAUCCACCCCGUGCUGCUGCAGGACUGUGGAUGUGAUGUACUGGUGGAGACGUUAGCUGGGUUUGGGUGGAGUAGCUGUAUAGAGGAGCACAGCCUCACCCACAGCAUCAGCUGGACCAGACAACUACCUCAGGUACACACACACACGUGUUCUAACUUUUAUAUGAUAUAAUAGUAAUAUAUUUUCGUUGUUUAUUACAGUGAAAUAAUUAAUAAUUUAUGCCUUCUGCUAAAAUCCUCUUGUUGUUGUUGUUUAUGAUGCUGCACAUGAUGAAACCCAUCCUCUUCCUCAUUCUCUGCAGCAGCUAGUAAAAGAAAAUAUUCAGAAAAACAAGUCGAUCAGGAAAAGCACCGUGUCUACAUCAACCCGUGAGUUAGUAUUCAUGCCCCCGCCCACCUCGGCUCGGGACCGCGCACAGGCAAAGCAGAGCUGAAGCCGGGCAGCGAUGCCAUCUCGUCAGAUAGGAGGAGCUAACAGUGCUAGGAACAGCAUGCAGUUCAUUCCUGUGUUAUUUGUGCGAAUAACACAUCAGUGUUUAUAUACUUU